RNAcentral lists this ribosomal RNA (501 nucleotides) under uncultured bacterium. Its description in RNAcentral is "partial 16S ribosomal RNA". It matches the Rfam family "Bacterial small subunit ribosomal RNA", at positions 30 to 523 of the family's 1533-position model. The record is from RNAcentral.
AUUGAACGCUGGCGGCAUGCCUUACACAUGCAAGUCGAACGGCAGCAUGGGUGCUUGCACCUGGUGGCGAGUGGCGAACGGGUUAGUAAUACAUCGGAACGUACCUUAUCGUGGGGGAUAACGCAGCGAAAGUUGCGCAAAUACUGUAUACGCCCGGAGGGGGAAAGCGGGGGACAGUAAGGCCUCGCGCGAUUAGAGCGGCCGAGGUCUUAUUAGCUUGUUGGUGAGGAAAAAGCCCAACACGGCGAUGAUCAGUAGCUGGUCUGAGAGGACGAUCAGCAACACUGGGACUGAGACACGGCCCAGACUCCUACGGGAGGCAGCAGUGGGGAAUUUUGGACAAUGGGGGCAACCCUGAUCCAGCAAUGCCGCGUGAGUGAAGAAGGCCUUCGGGUUGUAAAGCUCUUUUGUCAGGGGAGAAACAGCAGCUCUAACACAGUCUGCGAAUGACGGUACCUGAAGAAUAAGCACCGGCUAACUACGUGCCAGCCGCCGCCGUAA